Molecule: ribosomal RNA, 406 nt
Filed under: uncultured bacterium
Lineage: Bacteria
Description: partial 16S ribosomal RNA
Rfam family: Bacterial small subunit ribosomal RNA
Source: RNAcentral
GAUGAACGCUAGCUACAGGCUUAACACAUGCAAGUCGAGCGACCGGCGCACGGGAGAGUAACACGUAUACAACCUGCCCUUUACUCGGGGAUAGCCUUUCGACAGAAAGAUUAAUACCCGAUAUAAAGGAUGGGGAUGCGUUCCAUUAGGUUGUUGGUGAGGUAACGGCUCACCAAGCAUUCGAUGGAUAGGGGUUCUGGGAGGAAGGACCCCCACAUUGAGACUGGGCCAAGGCUCAAACUCCUACGGGAGGCGGCAGGGAGGAAUAAUGGUCAGUGGGCGGUAGACUGAACCAGCCAAGUAGCGAGAAGGAUGAAGGCUUAUGGGUCGUAAACUUUGUGGAUAUAAGUAUCGGUAUUAUAUGAAUAAGGAUCGGCUAACUCCGUGCCAGCAGCCGCGGUAAUAC